RNAcentral lists this ribosomal RNA (369 nucleotides) under uncultured bacterium. Its description in RNAcentral is "bacterial SSU rRNA". It matches the Rfam family "Bacterial small subunit ribosomal RNA", at positions 527 to 896 of the family's 1533-position model. The record is from RNAcentral.
GUAGGGUGCGAGCGUUAAUCGGAAUUACUGGGCGUAAAGCGUGCGCAGGCGGUUUCUUAAGCCAGACGUGAAAUCCCCGGGCUUAACCUGAGAACUGCGUUUGGAACUGGGAGACUAGAGUGUGUCAGAGGGAGGUGGAAUUCCGCGUGUAGCAGUGAAAUGCGUAGAGAUGCGGAGGAACACCGAUGGCGAAGGCAGCCUCCUGGGAUAACACUGACGCUCAUGCACGAAAGCGUGGGGAGCAAACAGGAUUAGAUACCCUGGUAGUCCACGCCCUAAACGAUGUCAACUGGCUGUUGGGAGAGAAAUCUUUCAGUAGCGAAGCUAACGCGUGAAGUUGACCGCCUGGGGAGUACGGCCGCAAGGUUG